RNAcentral lists this transfer RNA (72 nucleotides) under Camelus bactrianus (Bactrian camel). It matches the Rfam family "tRNA". From Rfam's summary of the family: Transfer RNA (tRNA) molecules are approximately 80 nucleotides in length. Lineage: Eukaryota; Metazoa; Chordata; Mammalia; Artiodactyla; Camelidae. RNAcentral also lists the same sequence under 2 other names. The record is from Rfam by way of RNAcentral.
GAGGGUAUAACUCAGUGGUCGAGCGCAUGCCUAGCAUACAUGAGGUCCUGGGUUCAAUCCCCAGUACUUCCA